RNAcentral lists this ribosomal RNA (433 nucleotides) under uncultured bacterium. RNAcentral's name for it is "partial 16S ribosomal RNA". It matches the Rfam family "Bacterial small subunit ribosomal RNA", at positions 29 to 507 of the family's 1533-position model. The record is from RNAcentral.
AACGAACGCUGGCGGCAUGCCUAACACAUGCAAGUCGAACGAGACCUUCGGGUCUAGUGGCGCACGGGUGCGUAACGCGUGGGAACCUGCCCUUAGGUUCGGAAUAACUCCCCGUAGGGGGUGCUAAUACCGGAUAAUGUCUUCGGACCAAAGAUUUAUCGCCUUUGGAUGGGCCCGCGUUGGAUUAGCUAGUUGGUAGGGUAAAAGCCUACCAAGGCGACGAUCCAUAGCUGGUCUGAGAGGAUGAUCAGCCACACUGGGACUGAGACACGGCCCAGAAUCCUACGGGAGGCAGCAGUGGGGAAUAUUGGACAAUGGGCGAAAGCCUGAUCCAGCAAUGCCGCGUGAGUGAUGAAGGCCUUAGGGUUGUAAAGCUCUUUUACCCGGGAUGAUAAUGACAGUACCGGGAGAAUAAGCUCCGGCUAACUCCGUG